GGUGGAGUGAUUUGUCUGGUUAAUUCCGAUAACGAACGAGACUCCAGCCUACUAAAUAGAUACCGAAUUUUUAGUUCGGUAUACUUCUUAGAGGGACAAGUGGUAUUUAGCCACAUGAGAUUGAGCAAUAACAGGUCUGUGAUGCCCUUAGAUGUCCGGGGCUGCACGCGCGCUACACUGAAGGAGUCAACAUGUGUCUAUCCUGGUCCGAAAGGACUGGGUAACCAUGUGAAACUCCUUCGUGAUUGGGACAGGGAAUUGUAAUUAUUUCCCUUGAACGAGGAAUUCCUAGUAAGUGCGGGUCAUAAUCUCGCGUUGAAUACGUCCCUGCCCUUUGUAC
RNAcentral lists this ribosomal RNA (340 nucleotides) under Nematoda environmental sample. Its description in RNAcentral is "SSU rRNA". It matches the Rfam family "Eukaryotic small subunit ribosomal RNA", at positions 1300 to 1665 of the family's 1831-position model. Lineage: Eukaryota; Metazoa; Nematoda. The record is from RNAcentral.